RNAcentral lists this unclassified non-coding RNA (1054 nucleotides) under Nilaparvata lugens (brown planthopper). RNAcentral's name for it is "uncharacterized LOC120350116, transcript variant X17". Lineage: Eukaryota; Metazoa; Arthropoda; Insecta; Hemiptera; Delphacidae. The record is from RNAcentral.
UAUAACGUGGACCUCACUAUAUAUAGUUAACCUAGAAUAAAUUCAUCAACAGUCGUCAGUCUUGUUUGAAACAGAUAACAGAGUUUCGAAAAUUUGCAUAAUAUGUACAUGACUAUUAUUUUAUAAACCACUAUAAUUUUAAUUCGUGUUUUUACUGUUGGUUAUGGUAUUAGUUAUAAAAUGAAGUAGCAAUAAUGUAGCAUACCUAAUAAAAAAAUCUUUAUUAUAACAAGAAAGAAACUGACUUAUAUGUUGAUAACAAUAGCAUUAGGCUACUACUGCCUAUAUCGUACCUAUAUUUUGAGUUUUCUGUGGAGAACGAAUGGCUCAAGUUAAUGAAGCUAAUGAAAUAUCAAAAACCUACCAAAAAUAAAAAUGCCAUUUAUGUCUGCCUGUCACCACAUAGAAAGCUUUCCGAAAGACACAACUCCUUGUUUCAAGAAGUUUUAUCGAUCAUCUGCAUUUCUUCACGUGAAUAACAAACGAAGGCACGCUACACUACUGCAAAUAAGUAUUUUACAGAUAUCAAAGAAAGCGGUGAAAAGAAUGAAGUUUUUGAUCCUUGAGGUGUCCUUAUGCGCGUCUCUCCUCUAGGAAAUACUGGAAUGAAGUGCAUCUAACGGGUGAACCUAUUGUACUGCAUCAUAAAAGCGGAAGAAGGAGGUGAAAUCAACUUGCCGACUGUUUAGCUGUGGUAAAAGCUAUCAAAUCCAUGAAUCCAGGAACCUAUUCAAUUCUCAAGAACAUCUCUGUCAUAAUGUGGUCGGACCCGUUCACCAAGGAAGGCACAUAGAAGACUGGCUUAUGAUGGCGAAAGACUUUUGAAGGCGGUUACCUUGAUUGGGAUCAUAUCUAUUAAACCUUCGAAUCCUGCACUCAAAAGUAAAUGUGAUACCAUUCAAAUGGAAUAAGAUUGAUUUGAAUUGGAAUUUGUUAUUCCUGUAUCAUAGUGCAUUUUUCUACUAGUUACCCUACGUAUUGUACAUUAUUGUAAUAAAGCACUAGCUGUUCCAUAGUAGAAGUCUUUGAAAUAAAAGGUUUCUUUUUCAAGUUA